CGAAACAGAACCCUUACCCCAUAUUUGAACAUGGACCAUCUUUUUGAUUUAAUGUGCUUAUUUCAAAUCUCAUGUUGUCACGUCUUCCUUCUAGUUCAUUUUUGCAGCUAGCUAUCUACAUCACAAGUUUAGCUGCAGUUGAAGUGCUAUGAGCUUGUGAUGGAGGUCAAGUAAUAAUUGAUUCUGUGGAUGUCAUGUGUGGUCUAAGCUUAGGGGAAUACAUUGCUUUUGCAUUUGCUGGAGCUUUUAGGUGAGCUGCUCAGUUUACAAAUGUUUUU
RNAcentral lists this long non-coding RNA (278 nucleotides) under Olea europaea subsp. europaea. The record is from RNAcentral. Lineage: Eukaryota; Viridiplantae; Streptophyta; Magnoliopsida; Lamiales; Oleaceae.